CCUCCCGGGUCCCCCUUUUCCUCUGGGGGAGGGGCAGUCGCUGGUGCCAGGUGUCUUCCAGGUCAGGACUGGACCUGGACUAAAAGGGCUGCUGUGGUCAGGCUCUGCGGGGUUCCCCCAUGACCCACGACGUCAACCCAUGUGGGAGGCCAGGUCUGACCUGCCACGGGCAGGAGGGGGUGGAGCGUUUAAGAGGGGCCUCCUGGAGGUCUGAGGUCAUGGGGCGCACCCUGGAAGGGGCUCUGGACCCUGACUCUUUCUCUCACCCCCGUGCUGAGCAGGCUCCCUGGCACCACAGCAGAGCCCCAAACAGCAGAGCGAGUCCGCCCUGGACUGAAACCUCCCGAACUGUGAGCAGGGAACCCUUUCCUCUUUAUAAGCCAACUGUCUCGGGUAUUUGUUAUCACGAGAGACACCUGACAGGCAGAAGCCGGGCCACGGUGUCUCUAGACCCACCAGCCCACCCACCGGCAGGUUCCGGCCCCGGCCACAGGAGGCUGGCCAAUCACGCUGACCGGCAUUCCUUCAGUGUCCCGCCCGCAUUUGCCCGGACGUCACUUCACACAGUGAAGAAUGUUUCUCCAGGAUCUACGAUGAGUCAAGCCCUCGUCCAGGCGUUGGGGCCACCAGUCCAAACCCAUCACAGUGCCUGCAGUCCCAGCUCACAUUCCAGCUAGCCAGGAAGCCGCCCAGCCAGGAUCCGAGUCGGGGAAGUCCGGCUCCUGGACUGUGAGUGCUCGGUUCUGCCCAUUUGCCGUGGCUGUGUUCUGUAAGGGUCUUCAAACACCAAAGCCCAGGCCAGGUUCUGGGGAGAGCAGGCUGUGCUCUGAGCAACUCCGCUUUGUAAAGCAACGGUUUGCCACGAGCUUUGAGUUCAGCUGCCAAGGUGGAGUGACUCCACACCUCGUUUGCACAAGAAAACCCACCAUCUGCCCAGCACAACCAUAAGGCAAAGACUGAGAAAUAAAUUAAUCAGGCUGAUAAAAACAACCACCUGUGACCAUCUCUGAUUAAAUCAGAAGCACAUGGACACAAGGGCAUAGCAACUCCGUAUCAGAAAAGCCAGGCCCAGCUGGGCAAAAGGCCGCACACCUAGAAUCCCAGUGGCUAGUAAGGCCAAGGCAGGAGGAUUGCAAGUUCAAGGCCCUCCUCAGCAACUUAUUGAGACUCUGUCUCAAAAUAAAAAUUAAAAAAAAAAAAAAAAAAAAAAACAACAGGCCGAAGAUGUGGCUCAGUGGUCAAGUGCCCCUGGGUUUAAUUCCUGGUACCAACAAGAGGAGGAGGAGAAUAAGAAGGAGGAGAGCCAGGCCCCCAAGCUUAACAAACACACCAGACCUUCAGAGGGAGCAGCCCUCACCUGAGUCCCACGUAAGGAGGAGCACCCCAAGACUGGUUAGACCCUGUCACCUGGGGUGGAGCCCAGGAGCACGCACACCUCUGCUCACUCACCACACACGAGCCUUGCCCAGGAAAAUCGUCACAGCCACAGAUCUCCUGUCCCCAGCCUUCAGGGCACAGACCAGUUCCUCCUGCCCAUUCCCAGCGGACGCCUCAUGCUGACGACGCUGGGAACAUGGCUGCUGUGGGACACUGGCUCAGACCAAGUCCAUCUCUGACAGCUCUGCUCCCUGGACAAGCCCGUCAGCUGGUUUUUGUUGAUGUUGUUGGGUUUUAUUUUUGGUUUGGGUUUUUUUUUUAAUCUGUCUGUGGUCCUGGGGUUUGUGGCACCCAGGGGUGCUCCACCGCUGAGCUACACCCCCAGCCCUUUUUACUUUAUUUUGAAACAGGGUCUUGCUAAGUUGCCCAGGUUGGCCUCAAAUUUGUGAUCCUCCUGCCUCAGCCUCCCCAGCAGCUGGAAUUGCAGGCGUGCACCACCCUGCCCACCAGCUGGUUCUUAAUCUCUUAAUCUGGCCACCUGUAGUGACUCUUACUUUCCUGUCUUCUCUCUCUCUCCCUGGGGCUACCUUGACCCUUUCUUAGCCUUCCAUGGUGUAGAGUGUGAUGUGUGACUCUGGUGUUAGAGAUAUCGCCUGCCUUCUGACCACCAGAUGACCCUCCCCUGCGGCAGAGUGGCCGUGCAUGAUGGUACUCAGUGCAUUCUGACACUGUGGAGAGACGGGCUGUCUGUGUUCAUGGCACAGUCAGCCAUGAUGGCUUCCCAAAGCCUCCGGUCACAUUUCUCGGUGAUCAGCACAUAACCUUGCUCCACAUGUGUCCAGUCUAAAGACGCCUCAUUGGUCUGGACAGCUGAGUCCUGCACGUGGAGUCCGUGGCCGGCAGCACCACUCGUGGGCCUGACUUUCCCCACUAGGUGUGUCACGGCCUCUCGGGCCCAGGACACAGGACAGAGAACGCCAAGGGACCCACAGAAGCAUGGAAAUCCUGCUGUGUGGACCUAACUGGACCAGGCCAAGGACAUCUGCUCACCCUGGGCACUGAAGCAAGAAGGCAGAAGGUCACCUGCUCAGCCUGGGCUGGGACUGUGUGGCAGUCACCGAUUCUGUCUCCCCGCACGUGAUGGAGAGAGAUAGUCAGCUCUUUUCCAGGAAAUCUCUGCCCAAAUCGUGUAGCUUCAGAGCAUGUGAGGAAGAUCGCCUUCUGUGUCCUGCACGUCCACACCAUGGGUGCCCCAGGCCGGACGCAUGCUUCCCUGGAAGAGUCAGGGGAAGCUCGGCCAGAGCCAUCAGGCUGAUCCAGAGGCCUGCAGCACUGGGGCCUGAGACCAGCGCUGCCCAGCCUUCGACGGCGGGAUCCUGCAGGGCCACCAGAGCUUGCUUUCCUGAGCCAUCUCCGGAAUUCUCCGAGAGCCAGGCACAGUGGUGCAGGCCUACGACUCCAGCGACCCGAGGCUGAGGCAGGAGGGUUGCAAGUUCAGAGCCGGCCUGGGCAACUUAGCUGGCCCCUAACAACUUAGCAAGACCCUGCCUCAAAGUAAAAUACCAUAAAAGGUCUGGAGACGUGGCUCAGUGGUGAAGGGCCCCUGGGUUCAAUCCUCGUACAAAAAAAGAGAGAAGUCUCGGAUAGCCUUGUGUCCCGGAACCUAAGAGUGCCUUUGCAGAUGGUGAAGGAGUCGGGGCUGUCAGAGUGGGUGGGGGAGGCCAGGGAUGGUCAGAGCCGUGGCGUCCUGGCCAUGGGUGCCACUUGCCUCUGUCCCUGAAGCCAGCCUCCAGGAACACUACCUGUCCUCCUGCCGGUCACCCUCAGCCUGACUGCAUGGCCGCCCCAGGGCUCCAGGCUCAGCGUGGGGAGGACCGAGAGGCCCCUGGCUGGAACGGGAAGGA
This is a non-coding RNA of Ictidomys tridecemlineatus (thirteen-lined ground squirrel), 3281 nucleotides long. Lineage: Eukaryota; Metazoa; Chordata; Mammalia; Rodentia; Sciuridae. The record is from RefSeq and is a predicted model, not a curated record.